RNAcentral lists this ribosomal RNA (700 nucleotides) under uncultured bacterium. Its description in RNAcentral is "bacterial SSU rRNA". It matches the Rfam family "Bacterial small subunit ribosomal RNA", at positions 94 to 823 of the family's 1533-position model. The record is from RNAcentral.
AGCGGCGUAAGGGGCAGUAAUACCUGGGAACGUACCCGGAGGUCGGGGAUAGCUGCUGGAAACGGCGAGUAAUACCCGAUGAUCUUGGAAAAGCAAAGGCUUGCCGCCUUCGGAGCGGCCCAGGCGAUAUUAGCUAGUUGGUGAGGUAACGGCUUACCAAGGCCAAGAUGUCUAGCGGGUGUGAGAGCACGACCCGCGCCACUGGCACUGAGACACUGGCCAGACACCUACGGGUGGCUGCAGUCGAGAAUCUUCGGCAAUGAGCGCAAGCUUGACCGAGCGACGCCGCGUGCGGGAUGAAGGCCUUCGGGUUGUAAACCGCUUUGGUCCGAGAGAAAGGGCAACUUGAUCGAUCGGAGAAACAAGGACGGGCUAAGUUCGUGCCAGCAGCCGCGGUAAGACGAACCGUCCAAACGUUAUUCGGAAUCACUGGGCUUAAAGGGCGCGUAGGCGGCCGAGCGGGUCGCGGGUGAAAUCCUCCAGCUUAACUGGAGAACUGCCCUCGAUACCACUGCGGCUCGAGGAAGGAAGGGGUCAUGGGAACUGUCGGUGGAGCGGUGAAAUGCGUUGAUAUCGACAGGAACGCCUGUGGCGAAAGCGCAUGACUGGUCCUUUUCUGACGCUGAGGCGCGAAAGCCAGGGGAGCAAACGGGAUUAGAUACCCCGGUAGUCCUGGCCUUAAACGAUGAGAACUAGGUAG